Non-coding RNA from Phasianus colchicus (ring-necked pheasant), 2055 nucleotides. The record is from RefSeq and is a predicted model, not a curated record. Lineage: Eukaryota; Metazoa; Chordata; Aves; Galliformes; Phasianidae.
AAUUGCCCUUCUAUGCACACACUGCCUUGUGCAUGUAAGAUUUUACUUACUCUUUUAAAACUUUUCCUGGGCCUUGCUGGCUGGACUCUCGGUGAGCUUGAUGUCCUAUCUAAGCAGAAAUGCCUAAGUUGCCCCAUGCCUCAUUGAGCUUCUGUUUGGACUGUUUUUCCAUGUGGUAUCUCUUCAGGAAGUAAUUCCUAUUUCUGCCCAUGGGAUUUCAGAGUGCUACAAUGCCUCUUUUGGGCUAGGGCUAUAUGUGUCCCGGCCAGGGCACUCUGAUGGGGCAUGGAAAAUGCUCAGCGAAUGGUCAGUGUGCCCAGAUGUAGGCGUGGGGUGAGAGGGCAGAUGAAUGUGACCCGGUGGGAGAGCAGACUGUGAGUAUGCAUUACCAGCAGUCCCCAGUCAGACCGACCACUCCCUGCCUUCUGGGCACUGGUUUAUCCCAGUCUCGAUCUCUCCAUGCUGGGGCAGCUACCUGGCAUCCUUUCCCCUGCAGAUGCUGCUCCACUCUGUACCCCCUUCAACUUGUCCAUAUAGGACAUAACCUGUCCUCUCCACCUGCAAGAGACGAAGCAGAGCUGCCCCCUUCUAGCUCCUGCAUUUCACUUCCCCAUUCUUCACCCUGCUGCAACGCCCGUGGCAGCAACUCAUCCCCUUUCCAGCUCUGAGCUGUGGCACACUGCAGCCUAGCAAGCCACAGUGCAUGUGUCUCAUCCUCCCCAUGCCAUCGUGUCCAAUCCCAUCCUAUUCCACCCCAUCCUAACUCAUUCCAUCCCAUUCCACCCCACCUCAUCCCACACCAACCCAUUCCAUCCUGUUCCACUCCAUCUCAUCCCAUUCCAUCUUAUCUUGUCCUGUCCCAUCCUCUCCGCCCUAUUCUCCCAUCCUGUCCCGCCCUGUCCAUCCCAUCCCAUCCUAUCUUGUCCUGUCCCGUUCCUUCCAGCCUUUCCCAUCCCACCACGGAGGUGGUGGGUUCUCCUGCCGGGACCUCCCCUCCCUCCCCGCAGCCUCGAGUCGCGCCAGUGAUGGGGAGAGCGUCACCGUCUCCUAGCAACGCGCCUAGCAACGCUCCUAGCAACCGGGCAACAUCUGCUCCCGCUGGACCAAUCCGUGCCGGGCACAUCUGGGCGCCCACCUCCGCGGGCUGCAGCCGGGCUGUGAUGCGCUCCUCAGUGGCUGCAGGGACCCGCAGAAGCUGCCACCAGUGCCACCACUUCCAGCGGCAGCCAGCAGCUCGGAGCGACCGGGGAAGGACGAAGGACGGGAGCAGCUCUCCCUCCACAGCCGGGGAUCGCCGGGUGACGUUCUGCGGGGCCGUGCUGCCAGCAAUGCUUGCUGAGCCCGUGCGAGGAGAUCUCACCGGGACUGCUGGCGUCAUCCCAGAGAGACCCUUUGCAGACUGACUCCACAUCCUCAGAGCUAUCCUGAUGCCUGUGCCUGAUGAACUAGGGAGAUCUGUAAAGCAACUAGAAGCCCCCAAAGAAGGCAGUUUUAAAGUGCAAAGCCACAGCUCCAGCCAGUAGGAAGGCUGCUACCUUCCCUCAGAGCUGAUCUGACUGGGGCCUACCAAAUCCAUUAACGACGUCGAAAGUAGCCUACUUUAAGAGAAAAUAUGCAGAAGAAGAACAUCUACAUCAAGAUUACCAUGAGUAUUGUCCAAAACACCUGAUACUCCCUGAGGACCGGACUUGUAUUCUAAAACUUUCUCUCCAGAAACUCCGAUUCCUGGAAGAUCCCGAAGCCUAUCUCCGUAGGUCGGUGUUAAUUAACAAUCUGUUGAGGAAGAUUCACCUAGAGACAGAGAGGGAGAGCUAUGAAUACUUUAAGGAGGCUCCGUGCUAUAGGACUGCUUACUCUGACUCACGAAAACGGCUGAAGUUUAUGGUACACGAGUGCUGUUCUCAGUCACUCUAUUAUGAAGAGCUGCAUUCGUAUCGCAUUGUGCCUUAUUCUGCAGAGAAUGCCGUUUAUGGGAUGGGCUACACAAGCAGCCACCUGGAGCAGAAUUCUCAAUUGCUUAUUUAUAAAAUGAAUUAAAGUAGCUGUUAGACCCAC